CAGCUGAUUACUGAUAACGGCAAAUCAGCGUCUUUUCUGUAGUGUCUACUGCAGGAUGGAUAUAAAAGUAUAAAAUGGCCUACGUUUUGGUGUGACAACAUCAUUAAUAUGUGGACUAUCACAAUUAAAGCACAAAGACAUAACAACAUUACACCCCAAGACCGUUCACAAGUGUGAGAAAAGAGGAGAAACCGUUUCCGGAAGAGAAGUUCAUCAGGCGAGACUUUGUCGAGUCAUCCAGUUUAGCUGAGAGCGUUAACCCAUUGAAAAGUGUUCAGCGUACAGUGUACCCCUCUUUGCAUCAGAGGAAGCGUUAGGAGAGAGGAGAAGAGAGACCGUGAAAAGGCCCUUGACAGAUGUUGAAAUACGUGUUAUUGUGCAAGGGGUAGUUGCAUGGACUAUCAGUGGAGGGUCAGAAGGCUCAGAGAUUUCAUUAUAAAGAUCUUUAUUUGUGUUCUGAAGAUGAACAAAAGACUUAUGGGUUCGGAAUGACAUGAGGACUACAUCCAAAAUAGUGUUUCCACAUCUGAGAUAAAGUCAGUCACUAGCAAGCGGAACGAUGAGGAUAAGUUCUUCAAAAAAUGAAACCUGCCUGAAAAAUGAGGGAAGAAAUGUGCAUGAUUGCGUGAUUUGUAAAUAAACAUUAAGGACAUUUAGUGUAACUCUCAGUCUGUUAUUUU
This is a long non-coding RNA of Cyprinus carpio carpio, 680 nucleotides long. The record is from Ensembl. NCBI's taxonomy places the organism in Eukaryota, Metazoa, Chordata, Actinopteri, Cypriniformes, Cyprinidae.